GACGAACGCUGGCGGCGUGCUUAACACAUGCAAGUCGAACGGAAAGGCCCUGCUUGUGUGGGGUGCUCGAGUGGCGAACGUGUGAGGAACACGUGAGUAACCUGCCCUUGACUUUGGGAUAACUUCAGGAAACUGGUGCUAAUACCGGAUAGGAGCUCCUGCUGCAUGGUGGGGGUUGGAAAGUUUCGUCGGUUGGGGAUGGACUCGCGGCUUAUCAGCUUGUUGGUGGGGUAGUGGCUUACCAAGGCUUUGACGGGUAGCCGGCCUGAGAGGGUGACCGGCCACAUUGGGACUGAGAUACGGCCCAGACUCCUACGGGAGGCAGCAGUGGGGAAUAUUGCACAAUGGGCGGAAGCCUGAUGCAGCAACGCCGCGUGCGGGAUGACGGCCUUCGGGUUGUAAACCGCUUUCGCCUGUGACGAAGCGUGAGUGACGGUAAUGGGUAAAGAAGCACCGGCUAACUACGUG
RNAcentral lists this ribosomal RNA (468 nucleotides) under uncultured bacterium. RNAcentral's name for it is "partial 16S ribosomal RNA". It matches the Rfam family "Bacterial small subunit ribosomal RNA", at positions 28 to 507 of the family's 1533-position model. The record is from RNAcentral.